UGAGGAAUAUUGGUCAAUGGGCGAGAGCCUGAACCAGCCAAGUAGCGUGCAGGAUGACGGCCCUAUGGGUUGUAAACUGCUUUUAUAUGGGAAUAAAGUGAGGGACGUGUCCCUUAUUGCAUGUACCAUACGAAUAAGGACCGGCUAAUUCCGUGCCAGCAGCCGCGGUAAUACGGAAGGUCCAGGCGUUAUCCGGAUUUAUUGGGUGUAAAGGGAGCGUAGGCUGUUUGUUAAGCGUGUUGUGAAAUGUAAGAGCUCAACUUUUAGAUUGCAGCGCGAACUGGCAGACUUGAGUGCGCAGAACGUAGGCGGAAUUCAUGGUGUAGCGGUGAAAUGCUUAGAUAUCAUGACGAACUCCGAUUGCGAAGGCAGCUUACGGGAGCGCAACUGACGCUAAAGCUCGAAAGUGCGGGUAUCGAACAGG
Molecule: ribosomal RNA, 424 nt
Filed under: Verrucomicrobiota bacterium
Lineage: Bacteria; Pseudomonadati; Verrucomicrobiota
Description: Verrucomicrobia bacterium partial 16S ribosomal RNA
Rfam family: Bacterial small subunit ribosomal RNA
Source: RNAcentral